Mesocricetus auratus (golden hamster) is the source of this 862-nucleotide long non-coding RNA. RefSeq lists it as uncharacterized. The record is from RefSeq and is a predicted model, not a curated record. The transcript is spliced from 2 exons. Lineage: Eukaryota; Metazoa; Chordata; Mammalia; Rodentia; Cricetidae.
AAACAAGUUUCUUUCCUCCUUACUCCUAUGCCUGAUAGAAGAAGCUUAAAAGAGGAAGGACUUCCUCUGGGUUACACUUUGAGGUUACAGUCCGUCAUGGUCCAGAAGGCACAGCUGUGGGAGCAGCUUGUGGCUACAGCAGCCCCAAGUGUGAGCCUAGUUCCUUGAAUCUCCAUGGACCAGGAAGCACAGGCAGAAGAGGAAGCAGCCACACUCCUAGCUGCUCCAGGACCCAUGUCUGUGAUCUUCAUCUCUGCAGUGCUCCAGGACCCAUGUCUGUGAUCUUCAUCUCUGCAGUGCUCCAGGACCCACGUCUGUGAUCUUCAUCUCUGUAGUGCUCCAGGACCCAUGUCUGUGAUCUUCAUCCCUCUGGUCAAGUGCUCAGGAGACAAACAGUGGCACUGUUACCUGGCCUGUCUCACUUAAUCUCUGCUUCCUCCCCAGGAAGCCAGGAUGCCAGGCAAUUAAUUGUAAAUCAAAGCCCCUAUCUGGGGCCUCAGGCUACCCACAUAAGUUCAGAUCUCCUCCUGCCUUUUCCAAAUAUGCUUUCUGUAGGAGGUGACUUUGAAAUUGAAGCCAUAAAAAACUGGACAGAAAUAGACCCCCUCAGCUCCUUAAGGAUGAGAUUACAUGGAGGGAGCAGGCACCACCCCGUCCUUCAUUUAGGAAUGCCCGCCACCCUACAUACACUUGAGGUGGCCCUAUGCUAACCUUCUUUCUUUACAUAUGUUUGGGGGUCUUAUGAGAAUUUCAUAUGUGUGUAUAUUUACAUAAUUCCCAACCCAUCUGUCCCACUCCAAUUCUUCCUGUGUUCCCUAAUUCCAUCUCAAUCAUCUUUAAGUUAAACUUUUAAAAAUUUCAA